UACGUAGGGGGCAAGCGUUGUCCGGAAUCAUUGGGCGUAAAGCGCGUGUAGGCGGCCAGGUAAGUCCGUUCUGAAAGCCCGGGGCUCAACCCCGGGAGGCGGAUGGAUACUGCUUGGCUCGAGUCCGGAAGAGGCGAGUGGAAUUCCCGGUGUAGCGGUGAAAUGCGCAGAUAUCGGGAGGAACACCGGUGGCGAAAGCGCUCGUCUGGCCCAAUACUGACGCUGAUGCGCGAAAGCUAGGGGAGCAAACGGG
Molecule: ribosomal RNA, 253 nt
Filed under: uncultured bacterium
Lineage: Bacteria
Description: partial 16S ribosomal RNA
Rfam family: Bacterial small subunit ribosomal RNA
Source: RNAcentral